RNAcentral lists this ribosomal RNA (250 nucleotides) under uncultured prokaryote. RNAcentral's name for it is "partial 16S ribosomal RNA". It matches the Rfam family "Bacterial small subunit ribosomal RNA", at positions 524 to 773 of the family's 1533-position model. The record is from RNAcentral.
UACGUAGGGGGCGAGCGUUGUCCGGAAUGAUUGGGCGUAAAGGGCGCGUAGGCGGCCUUAUAAGUCUGGAGUGAAAGUCCUGGCUUCAAGUUGGGAAUUGCUUUGGAUACUGUAGGGCUUGAGUGCAGGAGAGGUAAGUGGAAUUCCCAGUGUAGCGGUGAAAUGCGUAGAGAUUGGGAGGGACACCAGUGGCGAAGGCGACUUACUGGACUGUAACUGACGCUGAGGCGAGAAAGUGUGGGGAGCAAAC